AUUGAACGCUGGCGGCAUGCUUUACACAUGCAAGUCGAACGGUAACAGGUUAAGCUGACGAGUGGCGAACGGGUGAGUAAUGCAUCGGAACGUGUCCGGGCGUGGGGGAUAACGCAGCGAAAGCUGCGCUAAUACCGCAUACGAUCUAAGGAGGAACGCGGGGGACCGUAAGGCCUCGCGCGAUCGGAGCGGCCGAUGUCAGAUUAGGUAGUUGGUGGGGUAAAGGCUCACCAAGCCAACGAUCUGUAGCUGGUCUGAGAGGACGACCAGCCACACUGGGACUGAGACACGGCCCAGACUCCUACGGGAGGCAGCAGUGGGGAAUUUUGGACAAUGGGCGAAAGCCUGAUCCAGCAAUGCCGCGUGCAGGAAGAAGGCCUUCGGGUUGUAAACUGCUUUUGUACGGAGCGAAAAGGUCUCCUCUAAUACAGGGGGCUCAUGACGGUACCGUAAGAAUAAGCACCGGCUAACUACGUGCCAGCCGCCGCCGUAA
Molecule: ribosomal RNA, 493 nt
Filed under: uncultured bacterium
Lineage: Bacteria
Description: partial 16S ribosomal RNA
Rfam family: Bacterial small subunit ribosomal RNA
Source: RNAcentral